This 1174-nucleotide ribosomal RNA is filed under the name bacterium enrichment culture. RNAcentral's name for it is "bacterial SSU rRNA". It matches the Rfam family "Bacterial small subunit ribosomal RNA", at positions 8 to 1168 of the family's 1533-position model. The record is from RNAcentral.
AGGGUUUGAUUAUGGCUCAGAAUGAACGCUGGCGGCGUGCUUAACACAUGCAAGUCGUACGAGAACGCUCUAGCUUGCUAGAGCAAGUAAAGUGGCGCACGGGUGAGUAACGCGUGGAUAAUCUACCUUCGAAUUGGGGAUAACGUUGCGAAAGCGACGCUAAUACCGAAUAAUAUCCAUUAAUCUUCGGUUUUUUGGAUCAAGGGUGGCCUCUACAUGUAAGCUAUUGUUUGAAGAUGAGUCCGCGUACCAUUAGCUUGUUGGUGGGGUAACGGCCUACCAAGGCAACGAUGGUUAGCUGGUCUGAGAGGAUGAUCAGCCACACUGGAACUGACACACGGUCCAGACUCCUACGGGAGGCAGCAGUGAGGAAUUUUGCGCAAUGGGCGAAAGCCUGACGCAGCAACGCCGCGUGAGUGAUGAAGGCUUUCGGGUCGUAAAGCUCUGUCAAGUGGGAAGAACCUAUAUAAUGUUAAUACCAUUAUAUACUGACGGUACCACUGAAGGAAGCACCGGCUAACUCCGUGCCAGCAGCCGCGGUAAUACGGGGGGUGCAAGCGUUAUUCGGAAUCAUUGGGCGUAAAGAGCACGUAGGCGGCCUGGUAAGUCAGAUGUGAAAGCCCGGGGCUUAACCCCGGAAGUGCAUUUGAUACUGCCAGGCUUGAGUAUGGGAGAGGGAAGUGGAAUUCCUGGUGUAGAGGUGAAAUUCGUAGAUAUCAGGAGGAACACCGGUGGCGAAGGCGACUUCCUGGACCAAUACUGACGCUGAGGUGCGAAGGCGUGGGUAGCAAACAGGAUUAGAUACCCUGGUAGUCCACGCAGUAAACGUUGUUCACUAGGUGUAGCGGGUAUUGACCCCUGCUGUGCCGCAGUUAACGCAUUAAGUGAACCGCCUGGGGAGUACGGCCGCAAGGUUAAAACUCAAAGGAAUUGACGGGGGCCCGCACAAGCGGUGGAGCAUGUGGUUUAAUUCGACGCAACGCGAAGAACCUUACCUGAUUUGACAUCCUGGGAAUCCUAUCGAAGACUGAAUGCCCUUCGGGGAGCCCGGAGACAGUGCUGCAUGCUGUGUCAGCUCUGUCGUGAGAUGUGGGUAGUCCCGCAACGAGCGCCACCUUGUCUUAGUACCAUCAUUCAUUUGGGGACUUAAGAAUCGUGCUCGGUCACCGGGGAG